UUGAAGCCUAGCGAUAUGUAAGUUAGUGGCGGACGGGUGAGUAACGCGUGGGUAACCUGCCUUGUACUGGGGGACAACAGUUGGAAACGACUGCUAAUACCGCAUAAGCGCACAGCACCGCAUGGUGCAGUGUGAAAAACUCCGGUGGUGUGAGAUGGAUCCGCGUCUGAUUAGCUUGUUGGCGGGGUAACGGCCCACCAAGGCGACGAUCAGUAGCCGGUCUGAGAGGAUGAACGGCCACAUUGGGACUGAGACACGGCCCAGACUCC
Molecule: ribosomal RNA, 269 nt
Filed under: uncultured Lachnospiraceae bacterium
Lineage: Bacteria; Bacillati; Bacillota; Clostridia; Lachnospirales; Lachnospiraceae
Description: partial 16S ribosomal RNA
Rfam family: Bacterial small subunit ribosomal RNA
Source: RNAcentral